UUCCCCGGGCUUAACUUGGGGAACUGCAUUUGUAACUGGCAGGGCUUGAGUCUUGUAGAGGGGGGGUAGAAUUCCAGGUGUAGCGGUGAAAUGCGUAGAGAUCUGGAGGAAAUACCGGUGGCGAAGGCGGCCCCCUGGACAAAGACUGACGCUCAGGUGCGAAAGCGUGGGGAGCAAACAGGAUUUAGAUACCCUGGUAGUCCACGCCGUAAACGAUGUCGACUUGGAGGUUGUUCCCUUGAGGAGUGGCUUCCGGAGCUAACGCGUUAAGUCGACCGCCUGGGGAGUACGGCCGCAAGGUUAAAACUCAAAUGAAUUGACGGGGGCCCGCACAAGCGGUGGAGCAUGUGGUUUAAUUCGAUGCAACGCGAAGAACCUUACCUACUCUUGACAUCCACGGAAUUUAGCAGAGAUGCUUUAGUGCCUUCGGGAACCGUGAGACAGGUGCUGCAUGGCUGUCGUCAGCUCGUGUUGUGAAAUGUUGGGUUAAGUCCCGCAACGAGCGCAACCCUUAUCCUUUGUUGCCAGCGAUUCGGUCGGGAACUCAAAGGAGACUGCCGGUGAUAAACCGGAGGAAGGUGGGGAUGACGUCAAGUCAUCAUGGCCCUUACGAGUAGGGCUACACACGUGCUACAAUGGCGCAUACAAAGAGAAGCGACCUCGCGAGAGCAAGCGGACCUCACAAAGUGCGUCGUAGUCCGGAUCGGAGUCUGCAACUCGACUCCGUGAAGUCGGAAUCGCUAGUAAUCGUGGAUCAGAAUGCCACGGUGAAUACGUUCCCGGGCCUUGUACACACCGCCCGUCACACCAUGGGAGUGGGUUGCAAAAGAAGUAGGUAGCAUAACCUUCGGGAGGGCAAAUUACCAAAAAAAGUUUAAAGACUGGUGAG
RNAcentral lists this ribosomal RNA (889 nucleotides) under [Curtobacterium] plantarum. Its description in RNAcentral is "bacterial SSU rRNA". It matches the Rfam family "Bacterial small subunit ribosomal RNA", at positions 599 to 1482 of the family's 1533-position model. Lineage: Bacteria; Pseudomonadati; Pseudomonadota; Gammaproteobacteria; Enterobacterales; Erwiniaceae. The record is from RNAcentral.